Molecule: non-coding RNA, 24 nt
Filed under: Rattus norvegicus (Norway rat)
Lineage: Eukaryota; Metazoa; Chordata; Mammalia; Rodentia; Muridae
Source: RNAcentral
UCAAGUAGUGCCAGACAGGUGUGU